AAAACAUGAGAGGAUCGUUCCCUAUGGAUGACGAUGUACUCUCUGAUAAGAGCGGUGAUGCAAUAUUACUUUAGGGGUCACCCUUGGUGAAGUACGACUGUGACUAUAGUCUUACUGUAGGACCAUUAUGGUUGGCACGACUGUGGUCAUAGGUCGUGUCAUGGUUUGGCAAGCUCUAAAUGUGCUGUUAGUUUGGCAUGCUGUAAAUUGUUGUUAUAAUUGAACUGGUCAUUCCACAUGGGUAGUCGAAAGUUCGUACUGCCCUCAAUAGAUGAAAGUUGGAACAACUUCGCAUGAAAUGACACAAAAAAUUAUGCAUAUAAUGAUUUAUUUGAUUUUCUCCUAUUAUCUGCAUGAUUGAUUUGAUUGAUAUGACUAUGACAUGAUGGAUUUGAUAUUUUCUUUAGUAAAUAAAUCAUUUUCAUAAUUUAAGAAAUGACCCUGACGUGGCUUUUGAUGGUAAGUGUUGAUGACAUAAUU
This 480-nucleotide long non-coding RNA is filed under the name Carica papaya (papaya). RNAcentral's name for it is "long non-coding RNA (CPAP_LNC008999)". Lineage: Eukaryota; Viridiplantae; Streptophyta; Magnoliopsida; Brassicales; Caricaceae. The record is from RNAcentral.